This 56-nucleotide transfer RNA is filed under the name Camelus bactrianus (Bactrian camel). It matches the Rfam family "tRNA", at positions 9 to 63 of the family's 71-position model. From Rfam's summary of the family: Transfer RNA (tRNA) molecules are approximately 80 nucleotides in length. Their secondary structure includes four short double-helical elements and three loops (D, anti-codon, and T loops). RNAcentral also lists the same sequence under 3 other names. Lineage: Eukaryota; Metazoa; Chordata; Mammalia; Artiodactyla; Camelidae. The record is from Rfam by way of RNAcentral.
AGCUCAGUGGUAGAGCACAUGCUUAGCAUGCAUGAGGUCUUGGGUUCAAUCCCCAG